Molecule: long non-coding RNA, 1714 nt
Filed under: Homo sapiens (human)
Lineage: Eukaryota; Metazoa; Chordata; Mammalia; Primates; Hominidae
Description: HSALNT0371849
Source: RNAcentral
CCCCUCGGUCCUCAGUGCCCAAGCGUAGAAGCCGUGGAGCCGCAUGGCCCUGGUGACUGGGCUGCGUGACCCCUCUGUGGCCCCCUCCUGACCUGAGAAAGUGGUGCAAACAUCCACCGCGUCAUCUGGUCGUUAGGAGCACAGAGCCUGACCCACGAUAGACACCACGGGCAUAAUAAAUGCCGCUUUCUGUUUGCUUCAGCAGGAUGUGGACAAAACCUUUAAAUUUGUUUUUAUGCAUUCAAUGCGUCCAGCUGUUACGACUCUGAAGCAAGUGUGAUUUUCAGUCUUUUGUAGUUGUUAUUCAGGGCAGUCCUGUUGUGCUGGGCUUGACUGAAGCGGCCAACACGGUCAUGUGUGUGUCUCCAGGCAGCAACCUGCAGUGAGCCCAAGAUCAUGGUCCAGGGCUCCUCCUCCCGGCAGGGAGGAACUGUCCUCAGCAUCCUCUGAGCCCCAGGUGUGCAGGGGGCAGGGUCAGGUAGAGAGAGGGGAGGAAGUUAGCUGAGGAACAAUGGCUAUUGGUCAGAUUUCCCUACCCCAACCCUGACACAAGCGCCUCGCACAUCAUUGGCUGAGAUCAGUCUCUCCAUUUUCCUAAUCGAUUCUUCAUGCAAAGCCACAUUUUGGAGAAAAGGAAUGGUUAGAAUCAUGGCAGGAUUGCUGAGGCAGUGAAUUGAAGAGGCUGCGUAGUGCUUGCAACCAGUUACCAUAUUUCCCUGGAGGAAUCACCAGCAACCGACUCUCCCAGGACUUACGAGGUGCUUCCCUUAUCACCAGCCGUCUCAGCACAAGUAGUAAGAGAUAAGAAGGCAGCUGAGGUACACGCUUUGCCUCGUGGGUGUGAACCAAGUAGCGGGCACAGAGAGCCGCCACUGAGGGACGUCGGAUGAAGUGAUGGGAUUCGUCACCUGUCAUCAUUGCAUCAGCUCUUUACGUAGCCAUGUGUGGGCUAUACCCAGCAGUGCACUCUGUAUUCUGUGCAGUUAAUUACAUUUAACGUACCAUGUAGUGGCAGGCACAGUGUGCAUUUUGGGUUACAAGCCAUUGCUUGUUGGACUUCUCUGCCAGCCUCUUUACUCAAUUCUCACCGUCCCGGAGCAGAGAACUUCAUUAGAGAAGUAGUGAGACUUUUUCAGUUUCAAAAAUUUAGGUCAGUGCCAGAUCUUCAGCAUCCUUUGUUUGAAGGCAACAGAAACAGGCUCAGCUGAUUGGUGUCAGUUAUUGGAAGCUCAUGGAAUUGAAGAAAAAAAGCGUGGAAAGUCAAAUAACGUGGAGUCUUCCGUUUCAACUGAAGGAGGGCCAGGGACAAAGCAGGUGAUCUUAGAUGCCCCAGGGACCCAGAAGCCAGGCUCAAAGGCUCAGUCCCCACCCUCCUGAACACAGGCACUCUCAAUCAGCUGGCUGAGUUCCUUGUUUGAAGACACUGGAAGACGGAUUCACUGCAGAGGCCCCUGACAGUGACUGAUUGUCCACUGAGAGGCAGUUGUAUAAGAUCAAUGUCAUUCACAAGAGAAGCAAGGAGAAACACACAGCUUUCUAGACACUGGACCGUUUAGUUGUUACAAGCAUACGUACAUUUUAUAAAACAGUAAUUAUAUUGUAGAUAUGGUUUUUAUCCUCAUAGUUAUUUUUGUACAAUUAUGAAAUGCAAGGUUAUUGCUGAGAGAUUCAUCCAUGCUACAGCCAUUGCAAAUUACAUCUUAUCACUAAGCAG